RNAcentral lists this transfer RNA (74 nucleotides) under Enterocloster bolteae. RNAcentral describes it as "tRNA-Trp". It matches the Rfam family "tRNA". From Rfam's summary of the family: Transfer RNA (tRNA) molecules are approximately 80 nucleotides in length. Their secondary structure includes four short double-helical elements and three loops (D, anti-codon, and T loops). Lineage: Bacteria; Bacillati; Bacillota; Clostridia; Lachnospirales; Lachnospiraceae. The record is from RNAcentral. RNAcentral also lists the same sequence under 1 other name.
AGGGGAGUAGUUUAGUGGCAGAACCGCGGUCUCCAAAACCGCUGGCAGGUGUUCGAUUCGCCUCUCCUCUGCCA